UGGGGAAUAUUGGACAAUGGGGGCAACCCUGAUCCAGCCAUGCCGCGUGAGUGAUGAAGGCCCUAGGGUUGUAAAGCUCUUUCAACGGUGAAGAUAAUGACGGUAGCAGGUAAAGAAACCCCGGCUAACUCCGUGCCAGCAGCCGCGGUAAUACGGAGGGGGUUAGCGUUGUUCGGAAUUACUGGGCGUAAAGCGCACGUAGGCGGACCAGAAAGUUGGGGGUGAAAUCCCGGGGCUCAACCCCGGAACUGCCUCCAAAACUAUUGGUCUAGAGUUCGAGAGAGGUGAGUGGAAUUCCAAGUGUAGAGGUGAAAUUCGUAGAUAUUUGGAGGAACACCAGUGGCGAAGGCGGCUCACUGGCUCGAUACUGACGCUGAGGUGCGAAAGUGUGGGGAGCAAAACAGGAUUAGAUACCCCUGGUAGUCCACACCGUAAAACGAUGAAUGCCAGUCGUCGGGGUAGCAUGCUAUUCGGUGACACACCUAACGGAUUAAGCA
RNAcentral lists this ribosomal RNA (497 nucleotides) under uncultured bacterium. Its description in RNAcentral is "bacterial SSU rRNA". It matches the Rfam family "Bacterial small subunit ribosomal RNA", at positions 355 to 866 of the family's 1533-position model. The record is from RNAcentral.